Molecule: ribosomal RNA, 462 nt
Filed under: uncultured bacterium
Lineage: Bacteria
Description: partial 16S ribosomal RNA
Rfam family: Bacterial small subunit ribosomal RNA
Source: RNAcentral
GACGAACGCUGGCGGCGUGCUUAACACAUGCAAGUCGAACGGUAAGGCCUUUCGGGGUACACGAGUGGCGAACGGGUGAGUAACACGUGGGUGAUCUGCCCUGCACUUCGGGAUAAGCCCGGGAAACUGGGUCUAAUACCGGAUAGGACUGCGCGGUGCAUGCCGUGUGGUGGAAAGAUUUAUCGGUGCAGGAUGGGCCCGCGGCCUAUCAGCUUGUUGGUGGGGUAAUGGCCUACCAAGGCGACGACGGGUAGCCGGCCUGAGAGGGCGACCGGCCACACUGGGACUGAGACACGGCCCAGACUCCUACGGGAGGCAGCAGUGGGGAAUAUUGCACAAUGGGCGCAAGCCUGAUGCAGCGACGCCGCGUGAGGGAUGACGGCCUUCGGGUUGUAAACCUCUUUCAGCAGGGACGAAGCGUGAGUGACGGUACCUGCAGAAGAAGCACCGGCCAACUACGCG